RNAcentral lists this unclassified non-coding RNA (416 nucleotides) under fungal sp. Its description in RNAcentral is "partial internal transcribed spacer region". The stretch from base 1 to 46 matches the Rfam family "Eukaryotic small subunit ribosomal RNA", at positions 1786 to 1831 of the family's 1831-position model. The record is from RNAcentral. Lineage: Eukaryota; Fungi.
AAGUCGUAACAAGGUUUCCGUAGGUGAACCUGCGGAAGGAUCAUUACCACGUUCCAAACGUUAUCAACCCCGCGAACUGUUUCUAUCUCCCAUCGGGCGAGAAUGAGCUGAAUGACAUCCUGUCGUGUGUGUGAGAUGUCCCGUUGUCAUGACGGGCUCUGGCGGGUGUCAAACAACUUAGCUGAGAGCUGAAAUAUGCAGGAGGCUAGACGGCUGUAUCUCGAUCUGGUGGCUUUUUCCUUCUAUUCGGCUCCCCGCACCGGCUGAGUAGUGAGGAGUUUUUUACUAACUAUAUUCACCGCUCCUGAUAGUUGACUGAUCCUGUCAGCCUGUGUUGAAAGGCCAGUGCUGGCACGUUUAAGUAAUUGAACGUAAAACUACCUAUACAACUGUUAGCAAUGGAUGUCUAGGUUUCC